GAUGAACGCUGGCGGCGUGCCUAAUACAUGCAAGUCGAGCGAACAGACGAGGAGCUUGCUCCUCUGACGUUAGCGGCGGACGGGUGAGUAACACGUGGAUAACCUACCUAUAAGACUGGGAUAACUUCGGGAAACCGGAGCUAAUACCGGAUAAUAUAUUGAACCGCAUGGUUCAAUAGUGAAAGACGGUUUUGCUGUCACUUAUAGAUGGAUCCGCGCCGCAUUAGCUAGUAGGUAAGGUAACUGCUUACCCACGCAACGAUGCGUAGCCGACCUGAGAGCGUCGACCGCCACACUGGAUGUGAGACUCGUCACAGACACCUACGGGAGGCAGCGGUAGGGAAUCCUCCGGAAUGGGGCAAAGGGUAACGUAGCAAAGUCGCGGGAGGGAUGAAGGACCUAGGAUCCGUAAACUAUGUUAGUCGGGGAGUACAAAAGUGCUAGUACCUAGGAACGUCUUGACGGUACCUAAACAGAAAGCCACGGCUAACUCCGUG
Molecule: ribosomal RNA, 497 nt
Filed under: uncultured bacterium
Lineage: Bacteria
Description: partial 16S ribosomal RNA
Rfam family: Bacterial small subunit ribosomal RNA
Source: RNAcentral